AGAAACCAACAGGGAUUGCCUCAGUAACGGCGAGUGAAGCGGCAAAAGCUCAAAUUUGAAAUCCCCCCGGGGAGUUGUAAUUUGAAGAUUGCGUCUUGGAGGCGACCGUGUCUAUGUUCCUUGGAACAGGACGUCACAGAGGGUGAGAAUCCCGUGCGGCACGGCCCCCGGCUCCUUAUAAGGCGCUCUCGACGAGUCGAGUUGUUUGGGAAUGCAGCUCAAAGUGGGUGGUAAAUUCCAUCUAAAGCUAAAUACAGGCGAGAGACCGAUAGCGAACAAGUACAGUGAUGGAAAGAUGAAAAGCACUUUGAAAAGAGAGUGAAACAGCACGUGAAAUUGUUGAAAGGGAAGGGCAUGCCGUCAGAUUGUCAGUGUGGGUAAGAAGCGGGGUACAAAGACUGUGGAACGUGGCCCUCGGGUGUUAUAGCCGCAGUUCAUGCCCCGUCUCUUUCCGAGGCCUGCUUUGAGGACACCGACGUAAUGACGGUACGCCAGCCAUCUUGAACAACCGGACCAA
Molecule: ribosomal RNA, 517 nt
Filed under: Kodamaea ohmeri
Lineage: Eukaryota; Fungi; Ascomycota; Pichiomycetes; Serinales; Debaryomycetaceae
Description: partial large subunit ribosomal RNA
Rfam family: Eukaryotic large subunit ribosomal RNA
Source: RNAcentral